Ailuropoda melanoleuca (giant panda) is the source of this 106-nucleotide small nuclear RNA. NCBI's taxonomy places the organism in Eukaryota, Metazoa, Chordata, Mammalia, Carnivora, Ursidae. The record is from Ensembl.
GUGUUCAUUUCAGCAGCACAUAUACUAAAAUUAGAACAAUACAGAGAAGAUUAGCAUGGACCUUGAGCAAGGAUGGCACACAAAUCAUGAAACAUUCCAUAUUUUU